GAGUUUGAUCGUGGCUCAGAUUGAACGCUGGCGGCAUGCCUUACACAUGCAAGUCGAACGGCAGCACGGGAGCUUGCUCCUGGUGGCGAGUGGCGAACGGGUGAGUAAUGCAUCGGAACGUAUCCUGGAGUGGGGGAUAACGUAGCGAAAGUUACGCUAAUACCGCAUAUUCUGUGAGCAGGAAAGCGGGGGACCUUCGGGCCUCGCGCUCUUGGAGCGGCCGAUGUCGGAUUAGCUAGUUGGUGAGGUAAAGGCUCACCAAGGCGACGAUCCGUAGCAGGUCUGAGAGGAUGAUCUGCCACACUGGAACUGAGACACGGUCCAGACUCCUACGGGAGGCAGCAGUGGGGAAUUUUGGACAAUGGGGGCAACCCUGAUCCAGCCAUGCCGCGUGAGUGAAGAAGGUCCUCCGGGUUGUAAAGCUCUUUCGCGAGGGAAGAAAUUGCACCGGACAAUACCUGGUGUAGAUGACGGUACCUUGAUAAGAAGCACCGGCUAACUACGUG
RNAcentral lists this ribosomal RNA (506 nucleotides) under bacterium enrichment culture clone ALO1_GLFRUDD03FSU3O. RNAcentral describes it as "bacterial SSU rRNA". It matches the Rfam family "Bacterial small subunit ribosomal RNA", at positions 9 to 507 of the family's 1533-position model. The record is from RNAcentral.